RNAcentral lists this ribosomal RNA (400 nucleotides) under uncultured bacterium. RNAcentral's name for it is "bacterial SSU rRNA". It matches the Rfam family "Bacterial small subunit ribosomal RNA", at positions 355 to 774 of the family's 1533-position model. The record is from RNAcentral.
UUAGGAAUCUUCCACAAUGGGCGAAAGCCUGAUGGAGCGACGCCGCGUGAGGGAUGAAGGCCUUAGGGUUGUAAACCUCUAAAAGAGGGACGAUAAUGACGGUACCUCUUGAAUAGAACCGGCUAACUCCGUGCCAGCAGCCGCGGUAAUACGGAGGGUGCAAGCGUUAUCCGGAAUCACUGGGCGUAAAGGGCGCGUAGGCGGUCUGUUAAGUCCGAUGUUAAAUCCCGGGGCUCAACCCCGGAUAAGCGUUGGAUACUGGCAGGCUAGACGGUUGGAGAGGCAAGUGGAAUUACAAGUGUAGCGGUGGAGUGCGUAGAUACUGGUAGGAACACCCAUUGCGAAGGCAGCUCGCUGGACAACACGUGACGCUGAGGCGCGAAAGUGUGGGGAGCAAACC